CCCACAUCCACAGAGAGUACGUCUACACUGCAAUUAAAAACCCACAGCUGGCCUGUGCCAGCUGUCUUGGGCUUGGGCUAAGGGGCUGUUUAAUUGCAUUGUAGAUGAGGUGAGAGGGUCCCAGAGUUCAGGCUGCUGUCUAAACCCAAAUGUCUAUAUCCCAAUUAAACAGCCCCUUUGCCUGAGUCCCACAAGCCUGAGUCAGCUGGCAUGGGCUAGUUGCGAGUAUCUAACUGCAGUAUAGACAUACCCAAAGGGGCUCAGGUACUAUAACAUUCAGUAUCAUUGCACCUAACUUUUAGGGGCCUAGAAAAUCACAGGAUCAUCGCUGUGAUCCACAAAGCCUGAGUUAGGUACCUUGGAUCUCCAUACAAAAAAUGGGGAGAGACAGGUGCCUUAGAAUGGGAUCUACAAAAGCCAGUAAUGCUAAGCAGAGAGGUACCUAAGUUAGGCCCUGGGAGAUGGUGAUGCAGGGGUCUUGCCCCUCUCAGAGUUAUGUGCUAAGUCUGGGCUGUAGGGAGGCAGAUAUAUGUGCUUAGUGACCCACAACCAGGAGCGUGCUGUCUAGAGUCAGGCAGAUUAGGCAACUAAACUACUUCUUGCAGGAACGAGCCUGAUGACCAAUUCUGGAUAGAGAAGCUUUUUUUGCUGGACCACAGCCAUUCAAUGGCGUGAGUGCGGGCCGAGUAUGAAAGAGAGAGACUGUUAGCACCUGUUUCCACAUAGCCUCAAAGACUGAUCUUUAUGCAGCUGAGAGCUCCAAGGGAUAUCCCUUAAAAUAAAGGCCAGCUUAUUACCCAUCUUCUCCA
Molecule: long non-coding RNA, 809 nt
Organism: Dermochelys coriacea (leatherback sea turtle)
Lineage: Eukaryota; Metazoa; Chordata; Testudines; Dermochelyidae
Exons: 2
Source: RefSeq, a predicted model, not a curated record